GUUUACAAGGGCUCUGAAUGGAAGAUAAUUGAAAAGAUACUACCCCAGUAUAUGGGUAGGUGCUUAGCCGAUGAUGUUGCAUAUAGAGCUUUCACGGUCGAUGCAUACGGAUUCGCGUUCAUAUAGCCGAUGCAGGCGGCGUCGCCUUAAGUUUGAAGGAGACGAAAAAGGAUUUAUAUAAAUAAACCGAUCGGUAUUCGGUACUUCAAUUGGAUACAUGGCCGACA
RNAcentral lists this long non-coding RNA (227 nucleotides) under Setaria viridis. RNAcentral describes it as "long non-coding RNA (SVIR_LNC010909)". Lineage: Eukaryota; Viridiplantae; Streptophyta; Magnoliopsida; Poales; Poaceae. The record is from RNAcentral.